ACGGUUAUAAAUCAACAUAUUGAUUUAUAAGCAUGGAAAUCCCCUGAGUGAAACAACGAAUUGCUGUGUGUAGUCUUU
Molecule: antisense RNA, 78 nt
Filed under: Escherichia coli
Lineage: Bacteria; Pseudomonadati; Pseudomonadota; Gammaproteobacteria; Enterobacterales; Enterobacteriaceae
Description: partial antisense sRNA RprA
Rfam family: RprA RNA
About the family: Translational regulation of the stationary phase sigma factor RpoS is mediated by the formation of a double-stranded RNA stem-loop structure in the upstream region of the rpoS messenger RNA, occluding the translation initiation site. Clones carrying rprA (RpoS regulator RNA A) increased the translation of RpoS.
Source: RNAcentral